Molecule: long non-coding RNA, 1422 nt
Organism: Eriocheir sinensis (Chinese mitten crab)
Lineage: Eukaryota; Metazoa; Arthropoda; Malacostraca; Decapoda; Varunidae
Exons: 5
Source: RefSeq, a predicted model, not a curated record
CACCCUUGCCAGAUUAUCGUACUCAGAGCAUAGUAUUUACCGGUUUCUGACGCCUAACUAUUGCUAAAAAACAUCAGGAUCUAAUUCUCUUAACGAUAACUAUAAAUAAGUUUCGUUAUUGGAGCUCAGAAGACAGUUUUGGGGUAGGAAGUCGGGAAAUAUAAGCGGCUGAGUAGUGAGUACGACAAUCUGGCAACGUUGCUCCACACACCCCGGCCGCCAUGCACCACACAUACAAGGCUCGACGCUGCUGCAGAAUCCGCCUCUUCAGGAAGGAAACAACCACCUGCAGGAUUACCAGAUAGCAGAGAAAGAGCACCAAGACCUCGAUCGUGUGGCAAGGAUGUUUGGACGCGGCGGAGACGGAGAGGAAAGGAGAGAGACGAUGCUGACACACACACACGGCACCCUCACCACAUCAGAUGUUUGAGUCAGAUUCAUCGCCUUAUAAUGGAGGAAAGCGGCCGGCCCACUUUCUGCAAUCCUGAGGACGAAGAGCGGCAUGUUGUGGAACUCACGGCCGCCCCGGAUGCUGAAGCCGAAGCCUCGCGUGCCGCGCUGCAGCUCCACGCUGUAGUACUCCCCGUCAUCGCCGGGCUCACUCUCAGCCUGAACCACCGCCAACACAAAGAGAACAGAACAAGAUCAGUGAGCUCCCCACACAUGCAACAAAGGGCAAGACUUCACUGUGCCUGACAGUCUCAUGAUGUGUCUGGUGUGAGGGAGGGGAGUUAUUGAGUAUUGCUGCAAUUAUCUUGGGCACACUGAGGUGCAGCAAGAUGUCUGAGUUCAGUUGAGUAAGGAAAAGAGGCCAUGCAACUCAUGCCCCGCGCCACUCACCCGCUGCGAGUUGGAGGUGGUGCUGGAGGCGUCGUCUGUGGAGGGAGAAAGGAAUCAUUCACAGGCUGAGUAAACCACCUCAGGACACGCUGCCCUCCUUACUAGAGUCUGAUGAAUUGAUUUUAUCUUUUCUUCCUACUUCAGUACAUGUCAGUAAACCAUUGCUAGAGCUCAAAAAUGUUUAUGUCAGAUUGAAAAGGUGGUUAAAAAUCCCCCAAACUAGGUGUCAAUGACCACACAGUUCUUCCAGGGUUGCACGAGAGGGUCGCUUCUCUCAUCAAGAAGCUGCCGUGACCCUGGACAAAACUCUCACAGCCUUUAGGUCACGAGACAAGAGCUGUACCCCCAGAGCCACCUGACCCCUGCUUUCACCUGGUUUUAAAUUUAUAUAAAUUAUCACAUUUUUUUGUUCAAAAUGAUAUAACUGAAAACAGGUACACAACAUAGAUUUUUUUGCUCAUUAUCUAGUUAAUUUCAAUGUACCUGCAAGGCAUUUUAAAACCACAGCAAAUAUCUCAAAUACAUGCAACAGUGUGUGGAAAAGUCAGAAGCUUCUAACUUUUGAAAUUUGAACAUCAUGAC